CCACUAGCUCCACCUGGAAGCCUCUUUCUUGGGAGACAUCUGGUCAGAUGAGACUCCAGCUUUUGCUUUGAUUGCAGGACUUCUCAGAGCCUUUGAUGUGGCCAUGAGAAUGAAAAGCAGGUGAGGUAGGGAGUCCCUGUUGGGCCAGCACACUGAGAACCCUGGGCCUGAUACUCCGAGGCAAGAACUGAGUCUAUUUCUCCCUGUGUCUCCAGGCCGCUUUGGCACAGAGUGGCCCCUAGGUGUGUCCUGCCCACAGCAGGCGCCUGGCAGAGACCAGUCAUUAUAAACAAAACUUGGCUAAAGGAAUUCCCCGAUGGUCCAGUGGUGAAGAAUUCAGUUGCCAACUCAGGAGGACACCAGCUGGAUCCCUGGCCCGGCGAGAUCCCACAUGCUGCCGGGUUACUAAGCCCACGUGCCACAGCUACUGAGCCUAUGCUCCACAGCCCGUGCUCUGCAGCAAGACAAGCCCACACACCACAAAUGGAGAGUAGCCCCCACAGCAGCGAAGACCCAGCACAGCCAAAAACAAACGGGCUAAAGAGAAGAGCUGAAACAAAGAUAUGUUAAAGCUCAUAGGAAGGGUCAGAUCCUCCGCUUAGAGGAUCAGGGAAGACUGCCUGGAGGAGGUGACAUCGGAACUGAGCCUAAAGGGCACAGAGACGAUUGCAUCUCUCAGCCUUGCAGCGGGGGCAGCAGGUGACUGGUCCUGACGAGCACGAAGUGGGAAGAAAGGAGUGGUGGAAAAUUCUGGAUGAUGCUCCAUCCUCUCUCCCCUGGCUCUGGAGGCUGAGGAGACUGCAUGUACUGGAUGAACAGUUACAGCUGGACUGGUUGGAUCUCCUUGCAGUCCAAGGGACUCUCGAGAGUCUUCUCCAACACCACCGUUCAAAAGCAUCAAUUCUUUGG
Bos taurus (domestic cattle) is the source of this 909-nucleotide long non-coding RNA. Lineage: Eukaryota; Metazoa; Chordata; Mammalia; Artiodactyla; Bovidae. The record is from Ensembl.